RNAcentral lists this ribosomal RNA (402 nucleotides) under uncultured bacterium. Its description in RNAcentral is "bacterial SSU rRNA". It matches the Rfam family "Bacterial small subunit ribosomal RNA", at positions 355 to 774 of the family's 1533-position model. The record is from RNAcentral.
UGGGGAAUCUUAGACAAUGGGGGAAACCCUGAUCUAGCCAUGCCGCGUGGACGAUGAAGGCCUUAGGGUUGUAAAGUCCUUUCAGCUGGGAAGAUAAUGACGGUACCAGCAGAAGAAGCCCCGGCUAACUCCGUGCCAGCAGCCGCGGUAAUACGGAGGGGGCUAGCGUUGUUCGGAAUUACUGGGCGUAAAGCGCACGUAGGCGGAUCAGCAAGUUAGGGGUGAAAUCCCGGGGCUCAACCCCGGAACUGCCCUUAAAACUGUUGGUCUUGAGUUCGAGAGAGGUGAGUGGAAUUCCGAGUGUAGAGGUGAAAUUCGUAGAUAUUCGGAGGAACACCAGUGGCGAAGGCGGCUCACUGGCUCGAUACUGACGCUGAGGUGCGAAAGCGUGGGGAGCAAACA